AUUGAACGCUGGCGGCAGGCUCAACACAUGCAAGUCGAGCGGGGUGAUGGUGCUUGCACUAUCACUUAGCGGCGGACGGGUGAGUAAUGCUUAGGAAUCUGCCUAUUAGUGGGGGACAACAUCUCGAAAGGGAUGCUAAUACCGCAUACGUCCUACGGGAGAAAGCAGGGGAUCACUUGUGACCUUGCGCUAAUAGAUGAGCCUAAGUCGGAUUAGCUAGUUGGUGGGGUAAAGGCCUACCAAGGCGACGAUCUGUAGCGGGUCUGAGAGGAUGAGCCGCCACACUGGGACGGAGACACGGCCCAGACUCCUACGGGAGGCAGCAGUGGGGAAUAUGGGACAAUGGGGGGAACCCUGAUCCAGCCAUGCCGCGUGUGUGAAGAAGGCCUUAUGGUUGUAAAGCACUUUAAGCGAGGAGGAGGCUCUUUUGGUUAAUACCCAAGAUGAGUGGACGUUACUCGCAGAAUAAGCACCGGCUAACUCUGUGCCAGCCGCCGCAGUAA
Molecule: ribosomal RNA, 503 nt
Filed under: uncultured bacterium
Lineage: Bacteria
Description: partial 16S ribosomal RNA
Rfam family: Bacterial small subunit ribosomal RNA
Source: RNAcentral